This 345-nucleotide unclassified non-coding RNA is filed under the name soil metagenome. RNAcentral describes it as "partial contains 5.8S ribosomal RNA, internal transcribed spacer 2, and large subunit ribosomal RNA". The stretch from base 1 to 120 matches the Rfam family "5.8S ribosomal RNA", at positions 35 to 154 of the family's 154-position model. The record is from RNAcentral.
GAUGAAGAACGCAGCGAAAUGCGAUACGUAAUGUGAAUUGCAGAAUUCAGUGAAUCAUCGUGUCUUUGAACGCACAUUGCGCCCCCUGGUAUUCCGGGGGGCAUGCCUGUCCGAGCGUCAUUGCUGCCCUCAAGCACGGCUUGUGUGUUGGGCCUCCGUCCUCCUCCCGGGGGACGGGCCCGAAAGGCAGCGGCGGCACCGCGUCCGGUCCUCGAGCGUAUGGGGCUUCGUCACCCGCUCUUGUAGGCCCGGCCGGCGCUUGCCGACACAUCAAUCUUUUUUCCAGGUUGACCUCGGAUCAGGUAGGGAUACCCGCUGAACUUAAGCAUAUCAAUAAGCGGAGGA